Molecule: long non-coding RNA, 288 nt
Organism: Vicia villosa (hairy vetch)
Lineage: Eukaryota; Viridiplantae; Streptophyta; Magnoliopsida; Fabales; Fabaceae
Exons: 3
Source: RefSeq, a predicted model, not a curated record
UUGUAUUGUGCAUAAAGGUGUAACUUCAAAGCUGUUAAAUAUUAGUUGAAGUUUCGUGCCUUCAUUUUAUCAAGUUAGCUGGAAUGAAUUACAAAAAAGCAGAAGAAACAUGAAAUUGCUCAAAAACAAGACUUCCAAGUUGGAAUGGACAUAUGUGUAGUACUUUGUGGCACAUCAAAAAAAAAGAGAUUAGCGGAUAAAAAGGAGGAGGAUGCUCCUGAGAUAGAAGUAGGGCUGCAUGGAAAGUUAUUGACUUAUAAAUUCGGUCACCAUGGAGGAAGAUCUGCC